This 448-nucleotide ribosomal RNA is filed under the name uncultured bacterium. RNAcentral's name for it is "partial 16S ribosomal RNA". It matches the Rfam family "Bacterial small subunit ribosomal RNA", at positions 338 to 795 of the family's 1533-position model. The record is from RNAcentral.
GCUACGGGGGGCUGCAGUGGGGAAUUUUGGACAAUGGGGGCAACCCUGAUCCAGCCAUUCCGCGUGAGUGAAGAAGGCCUUCGGGUUGUAAAGCUCUUUCGGCCGGGAAGAAAUCGCAUCUCCUAAUACGGGGUGUGGAUGACGGUACCGGAAGAAGAAGCACCGGCUAACUACGUGCCAGCAGCCGCGGUAAUACGUAGGGUGUGAGCGUUAACAGGAAUUACUGGGCGUAAAGCGUGCGCAGGCGGCAAUUCCCCGGGCUUAACCUGGGAACUGCGUUUGUGACUGGUGGGCUUGAGUGCGGCAGAGGGGUGUGGAAUUCCACGUGUAGCAGUGAAAUGCGUAGAGAUGUGGAGGAACACCGAUGGCGAAGGCAGCCCCCUGGGUCGACACUGACGCUCAUGCACGAAAGCGUGGGGAGCAAACAGGAUUAGAUACCCCAGUAGUC